GUGGGGAAUAUUGGACAAUGGGCGAAAGCCUGAUCCAGCCAUGCCGAGUGUGUGAAGAAGGUCUUCGGAUUGUAAAGCACUUUAAGUUGGGAGGAAGGGCAGUAAGUUAAUACCUUGCUGUUUUGACGUUACCGACAGAAUAAGCACCGGCUAACUUCGUGCCAGCAGCCGCGGUAAUACGAAGGGUGCAAGCGUUAAUCGGAAUUACUGGUCGUAAAGCUCGCGUAGGUGGUUUUGUAAGUUGGAGGUGAAAUCCCCGGGCUCAAGCUAGGAACUGCCUCCAAAACUACUGAGCUAGAGUACGGUAGAGGGUAGUGGAAUUGCCUGUGUAGCGGUGAAAUGCGUAGAUAUAGGAAGGAACACCAGUGGCGAAGGCGACUACCUGGACUGAUACUGACACUGAGGUGCGAAAGCGUGGGGAGCAAACAGGAUUAGAAACCCUGGUAGUCC
Molecule: ribosomal RNA, 450 nt
Filed under: uncultured bacterium
Lineage: Bacteria
Description: partial 16S ribosomal RNA
Rfam family: Bacterial small subunit ribosomal RNA
Source: RNAcentral